GAUGAACGCUGGCGGCGUGCUUAACACAUGCAAGUCGAACGGUGAAGCAGGAGCUUGCUCUUGUGGAUCAGUGGCGAACGGGUGAGUAACACGUGAGCAACCUGCCCCUGACUCUGGGAUAAGCGCUGGAAACGGCGUCUAAUACGGGAUAUGUGCUGUGACCGCAUGGUCUGCAUCUGGAAAGAAUUUCGGGUGGGGAUGGGCUCGCGGCCUAUCAGCUCGUUGGUGAGGUAAUGGCUCACCAAGGCGUCGACGGGUAGCCGGCCUGAGAGGAUGACCGGCCACACUGGGACGGAGACACGGCCCAGACUCAUACGGGAGGCAGCAGUGGGGAAUAUUGCACAAUGCGCGGAAGCCUGAUGCAGCAACGCCGCGUGAGGGAUGACGGCCUUCGGGUUGUAAACCUCUUUUAGCAGGGAAGAAGCGAAAGUGACGGUACCUGCAGAAAAAGCACCGGCUAACUACGUGCCAGCCGCCGCAGUAA
Molecule: ribosomal RNA, 484 nt
Filed under: uncultured bacterium
Lineage: Bacteria
Description: partial 16S ribosomal RNA
Rfam family: Bacterial small subunit ribosomal RNA
Source: RNAcentral